RNAcentral lists this ribosomal RNA (471 nucleotides) under uncultured bacterium. RNAcentral's name for it is "partial 16S ribosomal RNA". It matches the Rfam family "Bacterial small subunit ribosomal RNA", at positions 29 to 507 of the family's 1533-position model. The record is from RNAcentral.
ACGCACGCUGGCGGCGUGCUUAACACAUGCAAGUCGCACGCUGAAGCUUGGUGCUUGCACUGGGUGGAUGAGUGGCGAACGGGUGAGUAAUACGUGAGUAACCUGCCCUUGACUCUGGGAUAAGCCUGGGAAACUGGGUCUAAUACUGGAUACGACAUGUCACCGCAUGGUGGUGUGUGGAAAGGGUUUUACUGGUUUUGGAUGGGCUCACGGCCUAUCAGCUUGUUGGUGGGGUAAUGGCUCACCAAGGCGACGACGGGUAGCCGGCCUGAGAGGGUGACCGGCCACACUGGGACUGAGACACGGCCCAGACUCCUACGGGAGGCAGCAGUGGGGAAUAUUGCACAAUGGGCGGAAGCCUGAUGCAGCGACGCCGCGUGAGGGAUGACGGCCUUCGGGUUGUAAACCUCUUUCAGCACGGAAGAAGCGAAAGUGACGGUACGUGCAGAAGAAGCGCCGGCUAACUACGUG